Molecule: long non-coding RNA, 426 nt
Filed under: Citrus maxima (pomelo)
Lineage: Eukaryota; Viridiplantae; Streptophyta; Magnoliopsida; Sapindales; Rutaceae
Description: long non-coding RNA (CMAX_LNC001852)
Source: RNAcentral
UCCAUAGUUGUUCUGUGGUGGCGGCGCUCCUCCAUAGUUGUUCUGUGGUGGCGGCGCUCCUGCAUAGUUGUUGGGCGGUGGUGUUCCACCAUAGUUGUUGGGCGGUGGUGUUCCACCAUAGUUGUUGGGCGGUGGUGUUCCACCAUAGUUGUUCUGCGGCAUCCCUCCGAGGUUGUUCUGUGGCAUCCCUCCGAGGUUGUUCUGUGGCAUCCCUCCAAGGUUGUUCUGUGGCAUGCUUCCCAUAUUUGGUGACAUGUUGCUGCUGGAAGGGACGUUGUUAGGGGGCAUGCCACUCAUAUUAGGUGCAGGGUUUGGCAUACCCUGGUUCUGAAAAUUGCGGUUCUGCAUGUUCUCCCUUCUUCUUUCAAAGUUUCUAGAUCUAUCGUAGCUGCGAGGCCUAUCAUUGCGCCUAUUACGCUCAUUAGC